AUGAGCGGCGGCGGCCGGAAGCCGGUGGGCGACGAUGCGGAGGUGGAAGCACUGCUCCGGGCGGCACAAGACGCCGUGCUGCUCAAGCUCCAGGCCAACUCCCACCUCGUCUCGUCGUCGUCCUCCGCCGCCUCGAACCCUCUUGCUCUCGACGAGGGGCCCGGUCCACUGGACGACGACCUCGCCCGCCGCCUCGACGCGCUCAGGUCCCGCCCGGCGCCGCCGAAGCGGCCCGGUGGUGCCCCCACCCCUGCAGCCGGCGGGAUGGACGAGAUGGAGGCACGGUUCGCGGCGCUGAAAGGCGCGGCGGUUUGCCCGGAUAAGGAGACAAGGGUGCGGCUGGAGGAUCUGGGAGGGGAAUCGGACGAGGAGGACGAGGUGGAGAAGGUGAUGCGGUGGGCGAUGGACGCCGCGCGGCUCGACGUCGCCACUGCCGGCGGUGGUGCCAGCAACGCCGACCACAAGGAAGAAGAAGACAAGAGCAGCAACGCCGAGGACAAGGAAGAAGAAGACAAGAGCAGCGCCAGUAGCGAGGAUGAGGAAGAGAGACUGGAACUGGAGGAGACGAGGAAGGAGAAGGAGAUGAUGAGCAAGAAGAACAAAGCCAAGAGCAGGUGGUUCUUCUUUUGA
This 630-nucleotide ribosomal RNA is filed under the name Triticum aestivum (bread wheat). RNAcentral describes it as "partial small subunit ribosomal RNA". The record is from RNAcentral. Lineage: Eukaryota; Viridiplantae; Streptophyta; Magnoliopsida; Poales; Poaceae.